UGCAUGAGGAGGUCACGGGACAGACCCUGCAGGUGCCAUGGGUUGACUGCUGUGCCAGGCUAGGUGCAUGAGGAGGUCACGGGACAGACCCUGCAGGUGCCAUGGGUUGACUGCUGUGCCAGGCUAGGUGCAUGAGGAGGAGGUCACGGGACAGACCCAGCAGGUGCCAUGGGUUGACUGCUGUGCCAGGCUAGGUGCAGGAGGAGGUCACGGGACAGACCCUGCAGGUGCCAUGGGUUGACUGCUGUGCCAGGCUAGGUGCAGGAGGAGGUCACGGGACAGACCCUGCAGGUGCCAUGGGUUGACUGCUGUGCCAGGCUAGGUGCAUGAGGAGGAGGUCACGGGACAGACCCAGCAGGUGCCAUGGGUUGACUGCUGUGCCAGGCUAGGUGCAGGAGGAGGUCACGGGACAGACCCAGCAGGUGCCAUGGGUUGACUGCUGUGCCAGGCUAGGUGCAGGAGGAGGUCACGGGACAGAUCCUGCAGGUGCCAUGGGUUGUACUGCUGUGCCAGGCUAGGUGCAGGAGGAGGUCACGGGACAGACCCUGCAGGUGCCAUGGGUUGACUGCUGUGCCAGGCUAGGUGCAUGAGGUCACGGGACAGACCCUGCAGGUGCCAUGGGUUGACUGCUGUGCCAGGCUAGGUGCAGGAGGAGGAGGUCACGGGACAGACCCUGCAGGUGCCAUGGGUUGACUGCUGUGCCAGGCUAGGUGCAUGAGGAGGUCACGGGACAGACCCUGCAGGUGCCAUGGGUUGACUGCUGUGCCAGGCUAGGUGCAUGAGGAGGUCACGGGACAGACCCAGCAGGUGCCAUGGGUUGACUGCUGUGCCAGGCUAGGUGCAUGAGGAGGAGGUCACGGGACAGACCCUGCAGGUGCCAUGGGUUGUACUGCUGUGCCAGGCUAGGUGCAUGAGGAGGUCACGGGACAGACCCAGCAGGUGCCAUGGGUUGACUGCUGUGCCAGGCUAGGUGCAUGAGGAGGAGGUCACGGGACAGACCCUGCAGGUGCCAUGGGUUGACUGCUGUGCCAGGCUAGGUGCAUGAGGAGGUCACGGGACAGACCCAGCAGGUGCCAUGGGUUGACUGCUGUGCCAGGCUAGGUGCAUGAGGAGGUGGUCACGGGACAGACCCAGCAGGUGCCAUGGGUUGACUGCUGUGCCAGGCUAGGUGCAUGAGGAGGUCACGGGAUAGACCCUGCAGGUGCCAUGGGUUGACUGCUGUGCCAGGCUAGGUGCAUGAGGAGGUCACGGGACAGACCCUGCAGGUGCCAUGGGUUGACUGCUGUGCCAGGCUAGGUGCAGGAGGAGGUCACGGGACAGACCCAGCAGGUGCCAUGGGUUGACUGCUGUGCCAGGCUAGGUGCAUGAGGAGGUCACGGGACAGACCCAGCAGGUGCCGUGGGUUGACUGCUGUGCCAGGCUAAGUGCAU
This is a long non-coding RNA of Lethenteron reissneri (Far Eastern brook lamprey), 1430 nucleotides long. RefSeq lists it as uncharacterized. The record is from RefSeq and is a predicted model, not a curated record. Lineage: Eukaryota; Metazoa; Chordata; Hyperoartia; Petromyzontiformes; Petromyzontidae.